UACGUAGGGGGCUAGCGUUGUCCGGAAUCAUUGGGCGUAAAGCGCGUGUAGGCGGUCCGGUAAGUCCGCUGUGAAAGUCGGGGGCUCAACCCUCGGAUGCCGGUGGAUACUGUCGGGCUUGAGUACGGAAGAGGCGAGUGGAAUUCCUGGUGUAGCGGUGAAAUGCGCAGAUAUGAGGAGGAACACCAAUUGCGAAGGCAGCUCGCUGGGACGUUACUGACGCUGAGACGCGAAAGCGUGGGGAGCAAACAGG
RNAcentral lists this ribosomal RNA (253 nucleotides) under uncultured bacterium. RNAcentral describes it as "partial 16S ribosomal RNA". It matches the Rfam family "Bacterial small subunit ribosomal RNA", at positions 524 to 776 of the family's 1533-position model. The record is from RNAcentral.